CCUACGGGGGGCAGCAGUGAGGAAUAUUGGUCAAUGGACGAGAGUCUGAACCAGCCAAGUAGCGUGAAGGAUGACUGCCCUAUGGGUUGUAAACUUCUUUUAUAUGGGAAUAAAAUGUUCCACGUGUGGGAUUUUGUAUGUACCAUAUGAAUAAGGAUCGUCUAACUCCGGUCCAGCAGCCUCGGUAAUACGGAGGCUCCGAGCGUUAUCCGGAUUUAUGGGGUGUAACGGGAGCGUAGGUGGAUUGUUAAGUCAGUUGUGAAAGUUGGCGGGUCAACCGUAAAAUUGCAGUUGAAACUUACAGUCUUGAGUACAGUAGAGGUGGGCGGAAUUCGUGGUGGAGCGGGGAAAUGCGUAGACAUCACGAAGAACUCCGAUUGCGAAGGCAGUUCACUGGACUGCAACUGACACUGAGGCUCGAAAGUGUGGGUAUCAAACAGGAUUAGAUACCCCUGUAGUC
Molecule: ribosomal RNA, 460 nt
Filed under: uncultured bacterium
Lineage: Bacteria
Description: partial 16S ribosomal RNA
Rfam family: Bacterial small subunit ribosomal RNA
Source: RNAcentral